This 480-nucleotide ribosomal RNA is filed under the name uncultured bacterium. RNAcentral describes it as "bacterial SSU rRNA". It matches the Rfam family "Bacterial small subunit ribosomal RNA", at positions 330 to 800 of the family's 1533-position model. The record is from RNAcentral.
CCUGGAUCCUCCUACGGGAGUCAGCAGUAGGGAAUCUUCGGCAAUGGACGGACGUCUUACCGAGCAACGCCGCGUGAGUGAAGAAGGUUUUCGGAUCGUAAAGCUCUGUUGUAAGAGAAGAACGAGUGUGAGAGUGGAAAGUUCACACUGUGACGGUAUCUUACCAGAAAGGGACGGCUAACUACGUGCCAGCAGCCGCGGUAAUACGUAGGUCCCGAGCGUUGUCCGGAUUUAUUGGGCGUAAAGCGAGCGCAGGCGGUUAGAUAAGUCUGAAGUUAAAGGCUGUGGCUUAACCAUAGUACGCUUUGGAAACUGUUUAACUUGAGUGCAAGAGGGGAGAGUGGAAUUCCAUGUGUAGCGGUGAAAUGCGUAGAUAUAUGGAGGAACACCGGUGGCGAAAGCGGCUCUCUGGCUUGUAACUGACGCUGAGGCUCGAAAGCGUGGGGAGCAAACAGGAUUAGAUACCCCGGUAGUCCUAUC